CAAAUCCAGCUGUUUAACUAUGGUAGCUGCUCCACUGCUCCAUAUAUUGGAAGAGCUCAAAAGGUGAAAAAAAAAUAAACACCUCAAAAAUCAAACACUGUUAAAAUGGUAGAACUGGUCUGGGAUCAAGGUAGCUAGAACAAGUAGCUAUACAUCAACAUAGACUAGAAAUGAUGCUUGUUACUUCAGGCUCUAUUCAGUGGCUCCAUGUCUUUCUUGGACUGGGAAGCCCAGAAGUGAGCACAGUGCUCCAGAUGCAGUCCUACUAAUGCAGAGAGGAAUGAUCACCUCCCUUGACUUGCUGGCAACACAGUACAAUAUAUACAUACUUUAUACAGUACUGAAACAAGAUGGCAAAACAGACUGCAGUGCAAUUUCUGAUUGCACACACAGCAAAUAAUAACUAUGCCUCUUUUCUAGGAACAACUGUCAACAUCUCAUUCCAUUUGCAAGAAGAAGAUAAACUUCUAAGUUGCUAACACAGCUUCUUCUCUUCAAAUGAACUCUAAAGGAAAAUUAAGAAUGCUGAAUAAGCUGCUUUUCCUCUCAAGUAAAAUCUCAUAUUUCCAAAUCCUUUCUCUUCAAAAUAAGAACAAAAACCUAGAAAUUCUGGUCUAGUGGUUAGGAUUCGGCACUCUCACCGCCGCGGCCCGGCUUCGAUUCCCGGUGAGGGAACCAUUUCCACCCCUUAUUCCAUAUCACUACAUCAUGUCAAUAUACAUAUGCAAACAAACAAUAAUUAAC
Numida meleagris (helmeted guineafowl) is the source of this 744-nucleotide long non-coding RNA. RefSeq lists it as uncharacterized. The transcript is spliced from 3 exons. Lineage: Eukaryota; Metazoa; Chordata; Aves; Galliformes; Numididae. The record is from RefSeq and is a predicted model, not a curated record.